RNAcentral lists this ribosomal RNA (116 nucleotides) under Pantoea cypripedii. The record is from RNAcentral. RNAcentral also lists the same sequence under 1 other name. Lineage: Bacteria; Pseudomonadati; Pseudomonadota; Gammaproteobacteria; Enterobacterales; Erwiniaceae.
CCUGGCGGCUGUAGCGCGGUGGUCCCACCUGACCCCAUGCCGAACUCAGAAGUGAAACGCCGUAGCGCCGAUGGUAGUGUGGGGUCUCCCCAUGCGAGAGUAGGGAACUGCCAUGC